Long non-coding RNA from Rosa chinensis, 619 nucleotides. RefSeq lists it as uncharacterized. Lineage: Eukaryota; Viridiplantae; Streptophyta; Magnoliopsida; Rosales; Rosaceae. The transcript is spliced from 2 exons. The record is from RefSeq and is a predicted model, not a curated record.
GAUAAGCUAGGGAAACCCCCUUGGUCUCCAAGCAAACACUCCUUGACAAAAUGGGUUCCAACAAGGCUUUUCUUUUAUUUGCUCUUGUUCUUCUCAUCAUCUCCUCUGAGGUAGCAGCACGAGACCUCCUCGAGCACACUUCUACUCAUGCCAAGCUGAAAGAGAAUGGUGGAUAUGAAAGAAAGCUUGCUAGUGGUGGGGGGGUAAAGCCCAUUGUUGUGCGUCCUGUCAAUCCUAAAUAUAAGCCUGUUCCCAGCCAAGGAAAAGAAUGCUCCCGAUAUACGAGAAGCUGUCCCGGCAAAGCACCACCACCACCACCAUGCUCACCAUAUAAAAGAAACUGUCCAUGAAAGAAGCUGCGCUCAUCUUUUCAGAUCAUGAUGAACAACUAAUUAUUAUCUGCCGAUCGAUACAUGAAGUUAUUGAUUCCUCUCUUUUGUUGCUUCCCUUACAUACAACUUGCAGUAUGUACGUGCUGUUACUUUCAUAGAAUAAACGCUCAAUAUAUGUAAGCCUAUCCAAAUCUUCGAUCUGGAGACUCUGGCCGUGCUAAUAUUUCUGUAAAAUCGCAUGGUGGUAAAGUAGUAGUUUUCAUGAUCUCUCCGUUCAUAAUAUUAAA